UCCUCCCCAUUGUCUCUCUCUGGUCUUUAUUAUGAGGUCACUAAUUCCAUCCAUGAGGGCAGUCACUCUCAAAAGGCCUCACCUCCCAAAGGCGCCACCUCCUAAUACAAUCAUCAUGGAUGCCAGGAUUUUAAUAUAUGAAUUUUUAGGAGGAACACAAAAUUCAGUGUAUUGCAACUAAUUUUGCAAAUAUUGGCUGAUUGGCAGUUUCUCCACUUUUAAUGCCAUUCAUUGGCUCAUGCUGCCUAAGGAGUCUUGUGGCUUUUGCUCUUUUUUGCUUUAUCUGCCCAUUUGUCAAUUUUCUGCAAGCCUGGUGGAGACCAAGCAACUCAAUCAGCUCUUCCUCUUCCUAUUGCCCUCAGAGCACCUCCUAGUGGCAAAAAGCAGGCAUUGUAAUCCCAGCAAGGCUUUUGAAAUUUGCUUCUUUCAUCCAUUUAUUUAGUUAUUGCCUGCAAAUGUUUCAACGAUAAUGUAAUGAUCCCUCUGCUGUCCAAAGACCAUGGUUGACCACAGGUAAUUGAAACCCUGGAAGGUGAAACUGCAGAUAAGGAGGACUACAGUGUUCAACUAUUUACAAAUAAUGACAGUGGCCACAAAGAUUACCUUGAAAAGAGACCGUGAGACAGUUUCACACAGACUGUGCCUGGAUUUCCAUGAGUCUCUGCCAACUGCUUUUUAAGAGGUUUGUUGGCAGGAAGUGUCUUGGUUUUCUUGAUGGCAGAGAUAAAGAAAAAAAGAAAAAAAACAAACGUGAAAAAUUC
Long non-coding RNA from Homo sapiens (human), 761 nucleotides. RefSeq lists it as uncharacterized. The transcript has 3 exons. NCBI's taxonomy places the organism in Eukaryota, Metazoa, Chordata, Mammalia, Primates, Hominidae. The record is from RefSeq and is a predicted model, not a curated record.